Molecule: ribosomal RNA, 1343 nt
Filed under: uncultured bacterium
Lineage: Bacteria
Description: 16S ribosomal RNA
Rfam family: Bacterial small subunit ribosomal RNA
Source: RNAcentral
GACGAACGCUGGCGGCGUGCUUAACACGUGCAAGUCGAACGGAAAGGCCCUGCUUUUGUGGGGUGCUCGAGUGGCGAACGGGUGAGUAACACGUGAGUAACCUGCCCUUGACUUUGGGAUAACUUCAGGAAACUGGGGCUAAUACCGGAUAGGAGCUCCUGCUGCAUGGUGGGGGUUGGAAAGUUUCGGCGGUUGGGGAUGGACUCGCGGCUUAUCAGCUUGUUGGUGGGGUAGUGGCUUACCAAGGCUUUGACGGGUAGCCGGCCUGAGAGGGUGACCGGCCACAUUGGGACUGAGAUACGGCCCAGACUCCUACGGGAGGCAGCAGUGGGGAAUAUUGCACAAUGGGCGGAAGCCUGAUGCAGCAACGCCGCGUGCGGGAUGACGGCCUUCGGGUUGUAAACCGCUUUCGCCUGUGACGAAGCGUGAGUGACGGUAAUGGGUAAAGAAGCACCGGCUAACUACGUGCCAGCAGCCGCGGUGAUACGUAGGGUGCGAGCGUUGUCCGGAUUUAUUGGGCGUAAAGGGCUCGUAGGUGGUUGAUCGCGUCGGAAGUGUAAUCUUGGGGCUUAACCCUGAGCGUGCUUUCGAUACGGGUUGACUUGAGGAAGGUAGGGGAGAAUGGAAUUCCUGGUGGAGCGGUGGAAUGCGCAGAUAUCAGGAGGAACACCAGUGGCGAAGGCGGUUCUCUGGGCCUUUCCUGACGCUGAGGAGCGAAAGCGUGGGGAGCGAACAGGCUUAGAUACCCUGGUAGUCCACGCUGUAAACGGUGGGUACUAGGUGUGGGGUCCAUUCCACGGGUUCCGUGCCGUAGCUAACGCUUUAAGUACCCCGCCUGGGGAGUACGGCCGCAAGGCUAAAACUCAAAGGAAUUGACGGGGCCCCGCACAAGCGGCGGAGCAUGCGGAUUAAUUCGAUGCAACGCGUAGAACCUUACCUGGGUUUGACAUGGAUCGGGAGUGCUCAGAGAUGGGUGUGCCUCUUUUGGGGUCGGUUCACAGGUGGUGCAUGGCUGUCGUCAGCUCGUGUCGUGAGAUGUUGGGUUAAGUCCCGCAACGAGCGCAACCCUUGUUCACUGUUGCCAGCACGUUAUGGUGGGGACUCAGUGGAGACCGCCGGGGUCAACUCGGAGGAAGGUGGGGAUGACGUCAAGUCAUCAUGCCCCUUAUGUCCAGGGCUUCACGCAUGCUACAAUGGCUGGUACAGAGAGUGGCGAGCCUGUGAGGGUGAGCGAAUCUCGGAAAGCCGGUCUCAGUUCGGAUUGGGGCCUGCAACUCGACCUCAUGAAGUCGGAGUCGCUAGUAAUCGCAGAUCAGCAACGCUGCGGUGAAUACGUUCCCGGG